RNAcentral lists this ribosomal RNA (272 nucleotides) under uncultured soil bacterium. RNAcentral describes it as "partial 16S ribosomal RNA". It matches the Rfam family "Bacterial small subunit ribosomal RNA", at positions 26 to 282 of the family's 1533-position model. The record is from RNAcentral.
AGAAUCAACGCUGGCGGCGUGCCUCAGACAUGCAGGUCGAACGCGAAAGUUCCCUUCGGGGGGCAAGUAGAGUGGCGCACGGGUGAGUAACACGUAGGUAAUCUACCUUUGGAUGGGGGAUAACAACCGGAAACGGUUGCUAAUACCGCAUAAUGCAGCGGCACCUAAUGGUGACAGUUGUUAAAGCGGGGGAUCGAAAGACCUCGCGUCUGAAGAGGAGCCUGCGGCGGAUUAGCUAGUUGGUAGGUAACGGCCUACCAAGGCUACGAUCC